This 439-nucleotide ribosomal RNA is filed under the name uncultured bacterium. RNAcentral's name for it is "partial 16S ribosomal RNA". It matches the Rfam family "Bacterial small subunit ribosomal RNA", at positions 338 to 795 of the family's 1533-position model. The record is from RNAcentral.
CCUACGGGGGACAGCUGUGGGGAAUAUUGCACAAUGGGGGAAACCCUGAUGCAGCAACGCCGCGUGAGUGAAGAAGGAUUUCGGUAUGUAAAGCUCUGUCCUCAAGGAAGAAAAUGACGGUACCUGAGUAGGAAGCCCCGGCUAACUACGUGCCAGCAGCCGCGGUAAUACGUAGGGGGCAAGCGUUAUCCGGAUUUACUGGGCGUAAAGGGUGCGUAGGUGGAUUCUUAAGUCAGAGGUGAAAGGCUAGGGCUAAACCGCAGUACGCCUUUGAAACUGGGGAACUUGAGUGCAGGAGAGGAGAGUGGAAUUCCUAGUGUAGCGGUGAAAUGCGUAGAUAUUAGGAGGAACACCAGUGGCGAAGGCGGCUCUCUGGACUGUAACUGACACUGAGGCACGAAAGCGUGGGGAGCAAACAGGAUUAGAUACCCCUGUAGUC